RNAcentral lists this ribosomal RNA (401 nucleotides) under Embiratermes brevinasus. RNAcentral's name for it is "partial 16S ribosomal RNA". The record is from RNAcentral. Lineage: Eukaryota; Metazoa; Arthropoda; Insecta; Blattodea; Termitidae.
CAAAAACAUCUCUUCUUGUUGGUUUUUGAAGUAUGGCCUGCCCACUGACAAUUUGAGUUGAAUGGCCGCGGUAUUUUGACCGUGCAAAGGUAGCAUAAUCAUUAGUUCUUUAAUUGUGAUCUGGUAUGAAUGGCUUGACGAGACAUGAGCUGUCUUAUAGGUAUUGUUUUGUUGAAUUUAGUUUUUAAGUUAAAAUUCUUAGAUGUUUUUAUGGGACGAGAAGACCCUAUAGAGUUUAACAUUUAUUAUUGGCUAUGUUUAUGUUGUUUGUAUUAUGUUUUUGAGCUUUUUAAAUGUUUUGUUGGGGUGAUGGGAGGAAUUUUUUUAACUCCUCUUUUCUUAUUAUAUAUUUAUUUAUAUUUGUUGAUCCAUUUAUUUUGAUUAAAAAAUUAAAUUACCUU